This 682-nucleotide ribosomal RNA is filed under the name Camaena cicatricosa. RNAcentral describes it as "12S ribosomal RNA". The record is from RNAcentral. Lineage: Eukaryota; Metazoa; Mollusca; Gastropoda; Stylommatophora; Camaenidae.
UAUUGUUAUGGUACAAAAUUUUAACAUUUAAAAUGUAUUAUGGAAUUUACAGAUGCUCCAGCCAUUAAAUAUCAAUAUUUGUGAAAACAAGAUUGUGUUUUAAUAUUAACAACGAUAAAUAAAGUGCCAGCAAUCGCGGUCAUACUUUUGUUGUAAGAAAAUUAAUAAAGUAGAAAACAUCCUGUAAAUUAAUAUAAUAGUGAAAUAUAUUUUAAUUUAUAAUUACAUUAUUUAAAUUUUCAAAUAUUGGACUUAAACAAGGAUUAGAUACCCUUCUAUACAAUAUACACAUAACUCUACUGGGCACUACAACUCUAUGAGUUAAAACUUAAAUAACAUGGCGGUAAUACAAAUAUUUAGGGGAACUUACUUAAUAAUUGAUAAUCACCAAGUUACACAACUUUUAGUUACAUUUUGUAUGCCGUCGCCGUAGAUAAAAUAUAAUACAUUAUCAAAACUUUAAAAAGACAGAUCAAGGUGCAGACAAUCUAAAAGCUAAAGCGAGUUACAAUAAUAAAUAUUUCGGAUUACAUUUUAAAAUAUGUAUUUAAGGUGGACUUAAAAGUAAUUUUGAAUUAAAAAUAAAAUAUGAAUAUCAAUUGUAUUGUGCACAAAUCGCCCGUCACUCUGGGGGAAACUUCAGAUAAGUCGUAACAUAGUAGGUGUAGCGGAAGCUGCCCCU